CGGGAAUCUUCCGCAAUGGGCGAAAGCCUGACGGAGCAACGCCGCGUGAGCGAGGAAGGCCUUCGGGUCGUAAAGCUCUGUUGUGAGGGAAGAAAGAGUGCAGGAGUAACUGUCUGCACGUUGACGGUACCUCACGAGGAAGCCCCGGCUAACUACGUGCCAGCAGCCGCGGUAAUACGUAGGGGGCGAGCGUUGUCCGGAAUUAUUGGGCGUAAAGCGCGCGCAGGCGGUCCACUAAGUCUGAUGUGAAAGCCCCCGGCUUAACCGGGGAGGGUCAUUGGAAACUGGUGGACUUGAGUGCAGGAGAGGAGAGUGGAAUUCCACGUGUAGCGGUGAAAUGCGUAGAGAUGUGGAGGAACACCAGUGGCGAAGGCGGCUCUCUGGCCUGUAACUGACGCUGAGGCGCGAAAGCGUGGGGAGCAAAC
Molecule: ribosomal RNA, 425 nt
Filed under: uncultured bacterium
Lineage: Bacteria
Description: bacterial SSU rRNA
Rfam family: Bacterial small subunit ribosomal RNA
Source: RNAcentral